AUAUAUAUUUUUCUUGUAUCUAAAUAAAAUAUCCAUAAAUGAAACCCCUUGAAGUUGAACAUGUGACUCCAACAAUACAAGUAUGCAACACAUAAAUCCAUGCGUAGUACGUGUGUGAUGAAGUGAGCUUGAGAGAUAAUGAAUUAUAACAAAUAGGAACCAUUGCUUUCAAACUACUAUAUAGUAUAUGCAUGUGUGAAGCUUUUUGUGUUUUACCUGGACAAUCAAAGGAUCUGAAACCUUUUGAUGUACAGUGAUCAGCUCAACUAGCUUGACAAAUAAAUCAAAGGAAUUUCAUUCUGUUAACACUGAUGAGUUGGUCUCGUUAAAGAGAAGGGUGCUGUAGAUUGAUUCCCAUUUUUAGCUUGAAUGUUCAGUUGCAGAAACAUGAAUCUUUUCUCAGUCGUCUACAAAAAAAACUGAUGCUUUGUAAACACAUUUUUCCGUAAGAAAUUUGGUCCAUUCGGCUGUAAAUAAAGUGAGGUGCUGAAAAAAAAUGAAAUUUUACAAGAAUGAGAGGUAACUGAAAGACAUAAAGAAAUAGUCAUAAAAUCUCCAUCAAAUCAUUAGCAUUCAUUGUUCAGUCUUGUCUCUGUUUUCACUUCACACUGCACCAAGUUUCCAAACUGUCUUUUUUGUUAAGACAUUAUUUGUUUUUAACAUCACUGCCUCCAAAAACAU
Etheostoma spectabile (orangethroat darter) is the source of this 681-nucleotide long non-coding RNA. RefSeq lists it as uncharacterized. The record is from RefSeq and is a predicted model, not a curated record. Lineage: Eukaryota; Metazoa; Chordata; Actinopteri; Perciformes; Percidae. The transcript is spliced from 2 exons.